Non-coding RNA from Nylanderia fulva, 1017 nucleotides. The record is from RefSeq and is a predicted model, not a curated record. Lineage: Eukaryota; Metazoa; Arthropoda; Insecta; Hymenoptera; Formicidae.
CUUUAAAAUUUAAGGUCAAAUUUUAUAAUAAAGAACAGAACGUCUACAGUGUGGAAAACGUCUCUCGUGUACAUCAAACACAUAUCUGUGCUCUUUGUAAUCGGCAGACUUAUUUCGUGUACUGCAAAAAACAAGGAAUUACGCGAAUAGUUUAUUGCAAUUACUUUAAUUUACAUUCCCUUUUUGUGUUUCGGUUCUCAUAAUGUCUGAUUGGAAGAUAACGUGCUUACCAGAGAAGAUGAUAAGCUACAUUCUCAACGAUAACGUACUCACUAUUGAAGAUAUCAUUAACUUUCGAUGCGUAUGCAAGCAAUUUCGUUAUGCAUGCUCUAUACAUAUGACAAGUUCUUGGAAAAAAAGUUAUCUCAAAGGAAAAUUGAUCGAAAUUCAAUCCAAGAAUUUUGCAAUAUAAAAAUGUCUCACUAUGAGAAGAUAUCUUCGAUACGAAAUGAGUUAGACAGAUAUAUACAGAAACCUGAAAGAGAACAGCUUUUGGAAGAAACAUGUACUUUCAUAGCACAACGUAUUCAACCUCGAAAAGAUGUAUGUUACACGAAUGUAAGUGCAUCAUUGGAUACAAUCGCACAAGAGGUACUGACUUGUCUCAGAUUGAAGCAUCCAAACCAUUCGAUAUUCUCCACGUCUGAAGAAACUUUUUCCUAUUGGAAAAGCAACAAUAUCAAAGAUAAUCAUUGGGAUGAAACAGAAAGUACGCAGAUUAUGGAUACACUCCAAGAAUAUAUUUAGCAUCUUGAAUUUUCGAGCAUGUAUCUCCCCAUUUUCACCCAAAGAUAUCAAAUGGAUUUGUAUAGAUUAUAAAAUGAACGAUGUUUUUACAUAGAAGACAAAAAUUUCUCGAAUUGUCUUCAUAAUUAUCUACCAGGUUACAAGUCUUGUGAAACAAAUCAUGACGUCAUCAAAAUAAGAACUGAAAAGAUGUUGGUCAUGAUAAAAGAUUUUGUUGAAACGUUUAUAUGGACACAUAAUAAUCUAUUUGGGAUUAAUGAAUUGUAAUGU